GCCCCGCGGGGCAUGCCGGGAGAAGCCGCUCACCGCCCCCGGGCCCACCGCCAUCUUCGGGGGUGGUGCAGUGCGGGGUCAACUGGGGGUGUGGGUGUAGUGCCAGCGAAGUCUUGCGUGUAUUAAGCCUCCCUUGCAUUUCACGUCAAGGCAAGCCUCCCACAUCUGAGAAGCAGAGUAUAUGCCCUAGAGUGCAGCUGCAUGAUGAUACACUCCCUGGAUGUACAGUUAUCACAAAAGGAAUUACGAGAGAAACAAUGACUUAGAUGAGCACAGUAGAAAAUGCAAGCAGGUGAUGCAUGCCAGAUAUAUUUUAC
RNAcentral lists this long non-coding RNA (317 nucleotides) under Gallus gallus (chicken). Its description in RNAcentral is "long non-coding RNA NONGGAT003811". Lineage: Eukaryota; Metazoa; Chordata; Aves; Galliformes; Phasianidae. The record is from RNAcentral.